Molecule: unclassified non-coding RNA, 320 nt
Filed under: plant metagenome
Description: partial contains 5.8S ribosomal RNA, internal transcribed spacer 2, and large subunit ribosomal RNA
Rfam family: 5.8S ribosomal RNA (bases 1-105)
Source: RNAcentral
GAAAUGCGAUAAGUAAUGUGAAUUGCAGAAUUCAGUGAAUCAUCGAAUCUUUGAACGCACAUUGCGCCCGCCAGUAUUCUGGCGGGCAUGCCUGUUCGAGCGUCAUUACAACCCUCAGGCCCCCGGGCCUGGCGUUGGGGAUCGGCGGAAGCCCCCUGCGGGCACAACGCCGUCCCCCAAAUACAGUGGCGGUCCCGCCGCAGCUUCCAUUGCGUAGUAGCUAACACCUCGCAACUGGAGAGCGGCGCGGCCACGCCGUAAAACACCCAACUUCUGAAUGUUGACCUCGAAUAAGGUAGGAAUACCCGCUGAACUUAAGC